Long non-coding RNA from Clupea harengus (Atlantic herring), 501 nucleotides. The record is from Ensembl. NCBI's taxonomy places the organism in Eukaryota, Metazoa, Chordata, Actinopteri, Clupeiformes, Clupeidae.
GUGCUGAGAUGAUAUGAUGGGGAUGAUAACGUGGAGGACUGGGACACUGAGGUAGGGACCUCACAUGUGCUGAGAUGAUAUGAUGGGGAUGAUACACACUUACUGACUGGGACACUGAGGUAGGGACUUCACGUGUGCUGAGAUGAUAUGAUGGGGAUGAUAACGUGGAGGACUGGGACACUGAGGUAGGGACCUCACAUGUGCUGAGAUGAUAUGAUGGGGAUGAUAACGGCGAACAGGUGGACCGGACCUGAGGUAGGGACUUCACAUGUGCUGAGAUGAUAUGAUGGGGAUGAUAACGUGGAGGACUGGGACACUGAUGUAGGGACCUCACGUGUGCUGAGAUGAUAUGAUGGGGAUGAUAACGGCGAACAGGUGGACCGGACCAUGUGUCCGUCUAUCUGUCUGGCUGUUCGUUGAGGUACGCGUGGACCAUAUGCGGCCAGGUGUGGUUGGCACCCCCACCUGCGCCAUGUACCACUAUAAUCAAUUUAACAGGAU